ACUCAAAUGAAUUGACGGGGGCCCGCACAAGCGGUGGAGCAUGUUGUUUAAUACGUCACUAACCGUAGAACCUUACCAGGGUUUGACAUGUGCUGCCUAUCUAUGAAAGUAGGUUCUGGAGCAAUCCAGCAGCAACACAGGUGUUGCAUGGCUGUCGUCAGCUCGUGUCGUGAGAUGUUGGGUUAAGUCCCGCAACGAGCGCAACCCUCAUCCCCUGUUGCCAGCGCGUUAGGGCGGGAACUCUGGGGAAACUGCCGGGGUAACUCGGAGGAAGGUGAGGAUGACGUCAAGUCAGCAUGGCCCUUACAUCCUGGGCUACAAACAUGCUACAAUGGACGCUACACAGACCGCUCCGACUUCGCAAGAAGAAGGCAAUCGGCAAAAUGCGUUCUCAGUUCGGAUCGCAGGCUGCAACUCGCCUGCGUGAAGCCGGAAUCGCUAGUAACCGCAGAUCAGCUAAGCUGCGGUGAAUACGUUCCCGGGCCUUGUACACACCGCCCGU
This 502-nucleotide ribosomal RNA is filed under the name uncultured bacterium. RNAcentral describes it as "partial 16S ribosomal RNA". It matches the Rfam family "Bacterial small subunit ribosomal RNA", at positions 899 to 1397 of the family's 1533-position model. The record is from RNAcentral.